Molecule: ribosomal RNA, 504 nt
Filed under: uncultured bacterium
Lineage: Bacteria
Description: bacterial SSU rRNA
Rfam family: Bacterial small subunit ribosomal RNA
Source: RNAcentral
AGAGUUUGAUCCUGGCUCAGAUUGAACGCUGGCGGCAUGCCUUACACAUGCAAGUCGAACGGCAGCACGGGAGCUUGCUCUGGUGGCGAGUGGCGAACGGGUGAGUAAUACAUCGGAACGUACCCUGAAGUGGGGAUAACGUAGCGAAAGUUACGCUAAUACCGCAUAUUCUGUGAGCAGGAAAGAGGGGGAUCGCAAGACCUCUUGCUUUAGGAGCGGCCGAUGUCGGAUUAGCUAGUUGGUGAGGUAAAGGCUCACCAAGGCGACGAUCCGUAGCGGGUCUGAGAGGAUGAUCCGCCACACUGGGACUGAGACACGGCCCAGACUCCUACGGGAGGCAGCAGUGGGGAAUUUUGGACAAUGGGCGCAAGCCUGAUCCAGCCAUGCCGCGUGAGUGAAGAAGGCCUUCGGGUUGUAAAGCUCUUUCGGUGGGGAAGAAAUUGCUUCGGUUAAUACCUGGAGUAGAUGACGGUACCCGCAUAAGAAGCACCGGCUAACUACGUG